Molecule: transfer RNA, 72 nt
Filed under: Marmota monax (woodchuck)
Lineage: Eukaryota; Metazoa; Chordata; Mammalia; Rodentia; Sciuridae
Description: tRNA.Thr
Rfam family: tRNA
About the family: Transfer RNA (tRNA) molecules are approximately 80 nucleotides in length. Their secondary structure includes four short double-helical elements and three loops (D, anti-codon, and T loops).
Source: RNAcentral
GGAGUUGUGGCUCAGAGGUAGAGUGCUCACCUAGUAUGUGUGAGAUACUGGGUUUGAUCCUCAGCACCACAG